GCGCCCGUAGCUCAGUGGAUUAGAGUGUUUGGCUUCGAACCAAAAGGUCGCAAGUUCGAAUCUUGCCGGGCGUACCA
Molecule: transfer RNA, 77 nt
Filed under: Candidatus Doudnaibacteriota bacterium
Lineage: Bacteria; Candidatus Doudnaibacteriota
Description: Candidatus Doudnabacteria bacterium tRNA-Arg
Rfam family: tRNA
About the family: Transfer RNA (tRNA) molecules are approximately 80 nucleotides in length.
Source: RNAcentral